CUCACAGGUAAGUGCCCCUAGAGAUGCAUCUCUAGUCCUCUUGUGAUAAUAAUAUACAACAAAGAUUAAUUAGGAAGCUCCCUUUCUAGUGUUAAAAUGAAUUCUUCAAGGAGGUCCAUUUGAAAGGGCUCAGAUGUUAUGUGCCAUGUCAUAGCUCUUCACUGAACAGGUCCGAAGGUAAUCAUUUCUAAGAAAAGAUGAAAGGAGCUCAACAUGUGGGGACUGAAAAAUAAUGACAAGUCUAGAGAACAGGCCAGAUAAAAGGAGGGUAAAGGGCAUUGUCAGCGUGCCACACGGAGGCUUUGGUUCAAUCGGUGCACACGGGAAGAAAUGAUGAAAAAGCACACAAAGAGCACACUGUGCCUUCAUUCCCCACGUGCCUUGAUAAACAGUGGGCAGGGAGAUGAAGGCCCCUGUUCCCCGGAUAACUUGCUGUGCGGGAGGAGCACCUCUCUCCCUCCCUGGCUCACUUUCCUUUCUCUCUCCUCAGCUAUCUUAAUUUGUUUUUCACAUUCUCCAAAGUAUUAUCACAAUUUCUUCCUUUUUUAUACACCUUUAAUAUUUCUAUUUCAUCUCAGACCUGAUACAUCCAGGUUUUUAGCUAAAUGUGCUGUGUGUGUGUGUGUGUGUGUGUGUGUGUGUGUAUUUCAUUAAGCAGAAUUUAGUCUGUGGAUUGUAUAUUUCAGAGGCAGCUCAGCUCUGUGUGUUUCAGCUUCUCUUCCCCUGGUACACUGAGCUCUGGCCCCAGGCUCAGGCUGCCUGUGUAUGACAGGUAUAAGGCCAGCAUUCUGUGAUUCACCUGGAAUACACAAGUCCCCCUUCUUCCUCAUUUCUGUGCCUCUCUGGAGGGAACCCUGGCAGCCCUUGCCUUAGUUUCUGGGACAAUCCAGGCAGCUCUCCAUCACUGGAGAACACCAGAUGGAAUGGAUGGAGGCAAUUUUGCAGAAAGUGCUUUAAGAGCAGCUUCCUCAGUGGUCUUUCCAGCUGGAAGCAGAGCGUCCAGAAAGCACCGCAUUCUCAGCCCUGUUUCAUCGCCUCAAGAGCUACAGAUGGCUUCCCCAAGCACCUGAAGUCGGUGCUGCUUGCCUGGAUUGGAUAAGCUGCAAGCUGCAGAAAUUCUUUUGUCUUUUACAGUGCAACUCAGACUCCAGUUUCUUUCUGCCUUGAGAGUGAAAGAAAGGAGACGAUACAAAGUAGGAAAGAGCCAGAAGGUGGAGAAAUUAAUGUUUAAUGCUUGAUACUCCCUGGGCCUGGCCAGCUGCUCAAAAAAGUUGGAUUCUGAUUAGUUCCCAUCAGCAGAAGUAGCCGAUAAGGGAUGGAAAAGCUGAGGCUCAAAAGGCAUUUGUAGAUCCUGGCUGAUGGAUAUAAGGAAGGCAUGAACUAUAAUAGUUGAACAAGGAAAUGAACUUGAACCAAAUUGUGAAGUUCUCUGCAGUGAAAUAUUAAAGCUCUUCUGAAAGGACUUGGAGUGAGCUGCCAGGCUGCAAGGGAUUGAAUCGAAAGCCCCCUAACAGUUAAAGUGUCCAUUAGCUUCUCUACACUUAGCAUCCGUCAGAGAGAAGACGGGCUGGGAGCCCCAGGCGAAUUUCUAACUAGCCUAAUGAGGAGAGAGAUUCUGGGAGCAAAAAAAGUUCAUUUGCUGAAUUUCCAGCAAGAAGUCACUUCAAUAUUGCUUCUAGGAAACACUGACAGGCUUUGUUGGUAAGAAAUCAUUAUGCUGAGAGAGAAAUGGGAUAUUGUUAUAUGAGGUUUUUAAAGAAAAUUCAUUUUGAUAGAUGUCUAACUGUGCAUUCAAUUAAAUUUCCUUCUCUUUCUUAAAAAUAGAUGUCAGGUAAUUGUACUCAAGUUCUGUAAGCUGAAAAGUGUUAUCCUUUCCUUCCAGUUAUUAAAAUUUCUUUAUCAAUAUGUGUCUUUCUUGUCUUAAUCCUUUGACUAUGGGGGGCCCUCAAUGGAAAUACAUGGAGUUCUCCCCUCCUUGCCUUGGA
Callithrix jacchus (white-tufted-ear marmoset) is the source of this 1985-nucleotide long non-coding RNA. RefSeq lists it as uncharacterized. NCBI's taxonomy places the organism in Eukaryota, Metazoa, Chordata, Mammalia, Primates, Cebidae. The record is from RefSeq and is a predicted model, not a curated record.